RNAcentral lists this microRNA precursor (156 nucleotides) under Prunus persica (peach). Its description in RNAcentral is "miR394b stem-loop (ppe-MIR394b)". Its record names the gene ppe-MIR394b. The stretch from base 19 to 138 matches the Rfam family "MIR394 microRNA precursor family". Lineage: Eukaryota; Viridiplantae; Streptophyta; Magnoliopsida; Rosales; Rosaceae. The record is from miRBase by way of RNAcentral.
GGGUUUCUCAGGGGCCUUGUUGCAGAGGCAAUUUGGCAUUCUGUCCACCUCCAUAUUCACUAGUACACAUAGAAGAAGUUUCUUUCUUUUAUUUUACAAGCUCUGGAGGUGGUCAGCAUGUCAAACUGGCUCUGUAAAUUUCUCUCUGAGAAACUC